AAUUAUGGUCAUGCCAAUCUGAACACACUGAAUCUCGUCUGAUCUUGUAAGCUAAGCAGAGUUGGGCCUGGUUAGUAUUUGGAUAGGAGAUCACCUAGGAAUACCAGGUGCUGUAGGCU
Ribosomal RNA from Pteropus vampyrus (large flying fox), 119 nucleotides. The record is from Ensembl. Lineage: Eukaryota; Metazoa; Chordata; Mammalia; Chiroptera; Pteropodidae.